GAUGAACGCUGGCGGCGUGCCUAAUACAUGCAAGUCGAGCGAACAGAUGCUGCGCUUGCUCCUCUGACGUUAGCGGCGGACGGGUGUGAAACACGUGGAUCACCUACCUAUCUGACUGGGAUCACUUCGGGAAUCCGGAGCUAAUCCCGGAUAAUCUCUUGAACCGUAUGGUUCAUUAGUGAAAUUCGGCUUUUCUGUCUCUUCUCGAUGCUUCUGCGCCGCAUUAGCUAGUUGGUAAGGUCACGGGUUUGCACGGCUAGCAUGCGUAGCCGAGCUGAGAGGGCGAUCGACCACACGAGAACGGAGACACGGUCCAGACUCCUACGGGAGGCAGCAGUAGGGAAUCUGCCGCAAUGGGCGAAAGCCUGACGGAGCAGCGCCGCGUGAGAUAUGAAGGUCUUCGGAUCGUAAAACUGUGUUAUUAGGGAAGAACAAAUGUGUAAGUAACUAUGCACGUCGUGACGGUACCGAAUCAGAAAGCCACGGCUAACUACGUG
Molecule: ribosomal RNA, 497 nt
Filed under: uncultured bacterium
Lineage: Bacteria
Description: partial 16S ribosomal RNA
Rfam family: Bacterial small subunit ribosomal RNA
Source: RNAcentral